GCGCCUGUAGCUCAGUGGAUAGAGCAGGACUCUUCUAAGGUCAAGGUCGGGGGUUCGACUCCCUCCAGGCGCACCA
Molecule: transfer RNA, 76 nt
Filed under: Patescibacteria group bacterium
Lineage: Bacteria
Description: tRNA-Arg
Rfam family: tRNA
About the family: Transfer RNA (tRNA) molecules are approximately 80 nucleotides in length. Their secondary structure includes four short double-helical elements and three loops (D, anti-codon, and T loops).
Source: RNAcentral